UACAGAGGUCUCAAGCGUUGUUCGGAUUCAUUGGGCGUAAAGGGUGCGUAGGCGGCGCGGUAAGUCGGGUGUGAAAUCUUGGAGCUCAACUCCGAAACUGCAUUCGAUACUGCCGUGCUUGAGGACUGGAAAGGAGACUGGAAUUUACGGUGUAGCGGUGAAAUGCGUAGAUAUCGAGAGGAACACCGGUGGCGAAGGCGGCCAACUGGACGAAGACUGACGCUGAGACACGAAAGCGUGGGGAGCAAACAGG
RNAcentral lists this ribosomal RNA (253 nucleotides) under uncultured bacterium. Its description in RNAcentral is "partial 16S ribosomal RNA". It matches the Rfam family "Bacterial small subunit ribosomal RNA", at positions 524 to 776 of the family's 1533-position model. The record is from RNAcentral.